RNAcentral lists this ribosomal RNA (569 nucleotides) under Stipecampus cristatus. RNAcentral describes it as "partial 16S ribosomal RNA". It matches the Rfam family "Bacterial large subunit ribosomal RNA", at positions 1816 to 2597 of the family's 2925-position model. The record is from RNAcentral. Lineage: Eukaryota; Metazoa; Chordata; Actinopteri; Syngnathiformes; Syngnathidae.
CGCCUCAUGUAUAAUAAUAAAAUAUGAGGUCCCGCCUGCCCUGUGACUAUAAGUUUAACGGCCGCGGUAUUUUGACCGUGCAAAGGUAGCGCAAUCACUUGUCUUUUAAAUAAAGACCCGUAUGAAUGGCACGACGAGGGCUUAACUGUCUCCUUCCCCUAGUCAAUGAAAUUGAUCUCCCCGUGCAGAAGCGGGGAUAAAAACAUAAGACGAGAAGACCCUAUGGAGCUUUAGGCUAACAGUAGAAUUACGUUAAAACCUGCAUUUAAAAGACUAAACCAAGUUAACCUCUACUACAUGCCUUUGGUUGGGGCGACCGCGGGGUAAAAAUUAACCCCCAUGAGCACAAGGUAAUAACCUUACAACCAAGAACGUCAGUUCUAAGUGCCAAAAAUUUUGACUUAAGAUCCGGCUAAGCCGAUCAACGAACCGAGUUACCCUAGGGAUAACAGCGCAAUCCCCUUCAAGAGUCCCUAUCGACAAGGGGGUUUACGACCUCGAUGUUGGAUCAGGACAUCCUAAAGGUGUAGUCGCUUUUAAGGGUUCGUUUGUUCAACGAUUAAAGUCCU